Molecule: non-coding RNA, 440 nt
Organism: Meriones unguiculatus (Mongolian gerbil)
Lineage: Eukaryota; Metazoa; Chordata; Mammalia; Rodentia; Muridae
Source: the annotation of a RefSeq genome assembly
GUGAAAAGAACAGACCUAGACUGUGAAUCAUGGCCUGGACUUCUCUUCUGAUCACACUCCUGGCUCACUGCACAGGAGCCAUGUCCCAGGCUGUUGUGACUCAGGAAUCUUCACUCACCACAUCUCCUGGAGGGACAGUCACACUCACCUGUGGUUCAAGUACUGGGGCUGUUACCACCAGUGUUCCUACUCGAUUCUCAGGCUCCCUGCUUGGAAACAAGGCUGCCCUCACCAUCACAGGGGCCCAGCCUGAGGAUGAGGCUGUGUAUUACUGUGCUCUGUGGUUCAGCAACCAUUUCCACAAUGGCACAUGCAGAUGGGGAAGUAGAACACAAAUCCUCUGGUACAGCCUCAUAACUGUCUUCCUAUCACGUGGCUACAUGUCCCUAAGCCCAGAGUGUCUGUUCAGUAACUGUAGAGAACUUCAUAGAAGCUACUGA